CUCGUCGCGACGUAACAGAACAUUUUUCGUGUGUAACGAAUAUAACUUCUAAUAACAAACAUACUAUUACUGCACUAAUUUGUACAACAGCAAUGGAUACGAUUUUUGAAACGGUGCUGCAUUUAUCUAAUACUUAUUCUCUGCUAGCUGUCUUUGUCGUUACGUCGCUGAUUGCAAUGCAUCUUUACAUCGAAAAUUCUCGACAAGUUCGUAUUGCAAACAAGUUACCAGGUCCGCUAAGUCUACCUUUAAUAGGUAACGCAUAUUUGGGUAUAGGACAGGAUCCUCAUUCUAUGUACAAACUUGCUGACAAAUAUCACAAACAAUACG
Molecule: long non-coding RNA, 330 nt
Organism: Pseudomyrmex gracilis
Lineage: Eukaryota; Metazoa; Arthropoda; Insecta; Hymenoptera; Formicidae
Exons: 3
Source: RefSeq, a predicted model, not a curated record